RNAcentral lists this transfer RNA (69 nucleotides) under Marmota monax (woodchuck). It matches the Rfam family "tRNA". Rfam says of the family: Transfer RNA (tRNA) molecules are approximately 80 nucleotides in length. Their secondary structure includes four short double-helical elements and three loops (D, anti-codon, and T loops). Further hydrogen bonds mediate the characteristic L-shaped molecular structure. tRNAs have two regions of fundamental functional importance: the anti-codon, which is responsible for specific mRNA codon recognition, and the 3' end, to which the tRNAs corresponding amino acid is attached (by aminoacyl-tRNA synthetases). tRNAs cope with the degeneracy of the genetic code in two manners: having more than one tRNA (with a specific anti-codon) for a particular amino acid; and 'wobble' base-pairing, i.e. permitting non-standard base-pairing at the 3rd anti-codon position. The record is from Rfam by way of RNAcentral. Lineage: Eukaryota; Metazoa; Chordata; Mammalia; Rodentia; Sciuridae.
GGAGUUCUGGCUCAGUGGUAGAGCGCUCACCUAGCAUGUGUGAGGCCCUGGGUUUGAUCCUCAGCACCA